Molecule: long non-coding RNA, 2288 nt
Filed under: Podarcis lilfordi (Lilford's wall lizard)
Lineage: Eukaryota; Metazoa; Chordata; Lepidosauria; Squamata; Lacertidae
Source: RNAcentral
AAAUUCUGGGCAAUAGUAGCACAGGGAGUCUCAUCCAAAGGAAAAAUUGUAAACAGCAGUAUUCCAUCCGAUGUGUGGUAUCAACACUUUCUCAAGCUAUACACACUCUCAAAUACUGCUAAUUUGAGUCCGCUCCUCCCAUUGAAGAAUGAGCAUCUAGUUAGUUGGGAUCCUGUUACGGAAUCAGAGUGCCUACAGCUAAUUAAAACUUUAAAAAAUGGCAAAGCUCCUGGCGAGGACAUGAUCCCCCCUGAGGUUUUUAAAUUAAAUGCCCAAUGGUGGGCCAUCUUUUGGCCAAACUUUUACGGCAAUGAACAACACAUGUAAAAUCCCAGCAAAUUGGAAACUAAGUGUGGUAGUCCCUAUCUAUAAGAAGGGAGACAUUCAAGAUCCAGCAAACUACCGCCCUAUAAGCCUUCUGGACAUCGCAUACAAACUUUAUACCCGGUACCUAUUAAACAAGCUGGUAGAUUGGGCGGACCAUUCUAACCUGUUCAACCAGGAACAGGCAGGAUUUAGAAAGGGCCACAAUACGAUAGGUCACUGUAUGGUACUACAGACCCUGGUAGCUAAAUAUGCAAAAGCGUAUAAGAGCAGACUCUUUGUGGCCUUCGUAGACUUGACAUCUGCCUUCGACUCAAUCUGUAGAGAUAGACUAUGGAAAAAAUUAUAUGAAACGGACAUUGACAGACGACUUUUAAAAAUUCUCAGAGAGUUACAUACAGACAUUACAGUCAAAAUCAGAACUGGGCCAUCGGGAACUCUUACGGACCCACUGCCAUUGGGGAAAGGGGUCAAACAGGGAUGCCUGCUAGCCCCAUUUCUUUUCAACUUUUAUAUAAACGACAUUGUCCAGUACAUGGCAAAGUACAAGUCAUCGGCUCCAGCCCUUGAAGGUAAACGCCUGAAUAUUUUGCUAUAUGCCGAUGACAUGGUUUUAAUGGCACUCACCCGAAGAGGCUUACGCAGCAUGCUGGAGGGGAUCGCAGCCUACUGUUCCCAUAAUUCACUAAAGAUAAACCAUGAUAAAACAAAAAUUGUGGUGUUUACUAGAGCUCGCCACACCUUUAGAUGGUCUUUAGAUGAACAAGUGAUUGAACAGUGCCCUUUUUUAAAUAUCUGGGUGUUACAUUCCAGGCUACAUCUAGCUGGCUAGCCCACUUUAAGGCUGUAACCAUCCUAACACGAAGAACAAUUGGUGUUUUGCUUAGUUUCUUCCAUACCAGGGGAGGACAAUUGGUGAUCCCGGCAUUAAGAGCUUUCGUUGGGAAAGCUAUUCCCCAGAUGUUAUAUGGGAUAGAACUCUGGGGGUGGAACCAGAGGCUGUUGGAACGGCUUGAAAUUUUGCAAAACUACUAUCUCAAGAAGAUUCUAGGCCUUCCUCAAGGAACCCCAGCAGCCUUCUUGAGGGUGGAGGUUGGUUUACCCUCUGUGUCUGCCAGGGCCCACUUAAGAUUCCUACGAUUUUACAUCAACCUUGCAAACUCUUCAAACACCUUAUUGGCCAAACAAGCCUUCGUAUCUUUUCAAAAGAAUACCACUUGGCGCCAAAACUUAUCUGAGAUCCUGGUUAGAUACACCCUACCGGAGUUUAAUAUCCUCAAACGGUGGAGCCCGGACAAAGUCCGGAAAUGGAUCCUGGAGAGAGACGCUCUGUUAGAUACCACAAAAAUACAGAUCCCAGGGUCCUCCCACUGGCUUCCCCGACUGAAAGCAGUCAAAAUCUGCGCCAACUACUUGGCGAAUAUCACCAAUCCCACUCUUCGGAGAGCCUUUACUAUGGCCCGUUUUCAAACCAUUCCUACGGCCUAUCUGUCAGGCAGAUAUGCAAAAAUCCCAGUAGAGCAGCGGAUAUGUCCUUGUUAUAUGAGAACCAAAGAGGAUCUCAUACAUUACAUGUUGUAUUGUCCCAUCUAUUCGGCCUUCAGGGAUGCGAUGUUACAAACUAUUCCUAAAUCAAUAGUCAACUCUGAGGACCAAGUAAAGUUUUUACUGGUAGACGCUGAUCCACGGAUUUCUCACGUGGUAGCGGUCUUUGUGGUGAAGGCUAUGAAAACUAGGGUAUGGUUCCUGGAUGAAACGGUGAGGUCCCUCCCAUUGCUCUCCUAACCUGUUGCUGUACCUUCUUCCUUGAAUGGUGGGGUUUUUUGGGUAGUUUCCUUGCUGGGACAACAUGGCAUGAAUUUUAGCUUACUUUUAUAAUCUUUUUGGUUUAUCUUUUAAUAAUGUUUUAUGGUAUUUUGUGUAAAGGCAUGGACCUCACAAAUUUAAUAAAUUUGUUGUUGUUG